Molecule: long non-coding RNA, 2195 nt
Organism: Oncorhynchus keta (chum salmon)
Lineage: Eukaryota; Metazoa; Chordata; Actinopteri; Salmoniformes; Salmonidae
Exons: 9
Source: RefSeq, a predicted model, not a curated record
GAUGUCAGUAGUUGAUGUCAGUAGUUGAUGUCAGUAGUUCAGUAGUUGAUGUCAGUAGUUGAUGUCAGUAGUUGAUGUCAGUAGUUGAUGUCAGUAGUUCAGUAGUUGAUGUCAGUAGUUGAUGUCAGUAGUUCAGUAGUUGAUGUCAGUAGUUGAUGUCAGUAGUUGAUGUCAGUAGUUGAUGUCAGUAGUUGAUGUCAGUAGUUGAUGUCAGUAGUUGAUGUCAGUAGUUGAUGUCAGUAGUUCAGUAGUUGAUUUCAGUAGUUCAUGUCAGUAGUUGAUGUCAGUAGUUCAUGUCAGUAGUUCAUGUCAGUAGUUGAUGUCAGUAGUUCAGUAGUUGAUGUCAGUAGUUCAGUAGUUGAUUUCAGUAGUUGAUGUCAGUAGUUGAUGUCAGUAGUUGAUGUCAGUAGUUGAUGUCAGUAGUUCAGUAGUUGAUGUCAGUAGUUCAGUAGUUGAUGUCAGUAGUUGAUGUCAGUAGUUGAUGUCAGUAGUUGAUGUCAGUAGUUCAUUUCAGUAGUUGAUGUCAGUAGUUGAUGUCAGUAGUUGAUGUCAGUAGUUGAUGUCAGUAGUUGAUGUCAGUAGUUGAUGUCAGUAGUUGAUGUCAGUAGUUCAGUAGUUGAUGUCAGUAGUUGAUGUCAGUAGUUGAUGUCAGUAGUUGAUGUCAGUAGUUGAUUUCAGUAGUUGAUGUCAGUAGUUGAUGUCAGUAGUUGAUGUCAGUAGUUCAUGUCAGUAGUUGAUGUCAGUAGUUGAUGUCAGUAGUUGAUGUCAGUAGUUGAUGUCAGUAGUUCAGUAGUUGAUGUCAGUAGUUGAUUUCAGUAGUUGAUGUCAGUAGUUCAUGUCAGUAGUUCAGUAGUUGAUGUCAGUAGUUGAUGUCAGUAGUUCAUGUCAGUAGUUCAUGUCAGUAGUUCAUGUCAGUAGUUCAGUAGUUGAUGUCAGUAGUUCAUGUCAGUAGUUGAUGUCAGUAGUUGAUGUCAGUAGUUGAUGUCAGUAGUUGAUGUCAGUAGUUGAUGUCAGUAGUUCAUGUCAGUAGUUCAGUAGUUCAUGUCAGUAGUUCAUGUCAGUAGUUCAGUAGUUGAUGUCAGUUGUUCAGUAGUUCAUGUCAGUAGUUGAUGUCAGUAGUUGAUGUCAGUAGUUCAUGUCAGUAGUUCAGUAGUUUAUGUCAGUUGUUCAGUAGUUGAUGUCAGUAGUUGAUGUCAGUAGUUGAUGUCAGUAGUUCAGUAGUUCAUGUCAGUAGUUCAUGUCAGUAGUUCAUGUCAGUAGUUCAGUAGUUCAUGUCAGUAGUUGAUGUCAGUAGUUGAUGUCAGUAGUUCAUGUCAGUAGUUGAUGUCAGUAGUUGAUGUCAGUAGUUGAUGUCAGUAGUUCAUGUCAGUAGUUGAUGUCAGUAGUUGAUGUCAGUAGUUGAUGUCAGUAGUUGAUGUCAGUAGUUGAUGUCAGUAGUUCAUGUCAGUAGUUGAUGUCAGUAGUUCAUGUCAGUAGUUCAUGUCAGUAGUUCAUGUCAGUAGUUCAUGUCAGUAGUUCAUGUCAGUAGUUCAUGUCAGUAGUUCAGUAGUUGAUGUCAGUAGUUCAUGUCAGUAGUUGAUGUCAGUAGUUGAUGUUAGUAGUUGAUUUCAGUAGUUGAUGUCAGUAGUUGAUGUCAGUAGUUGAUGUCAGUAGUUCAUGUCAGUAGUUCAGUAGUUGAUGUCAGUAGUUGAUGUCAGUAGUUCAUGUCAGUAGUUCAUGUCAGUAGUUCAUGUCAGUAGUUCAUGUCAGUAGUUCAGUAGUUGAUGUCAGUAGUUGAUGUCAGUAGUUGAUGUCAGUAGUUCAUGUCAGUAGUUGAUGUCAGUAGUUGAUGUCAGUAGUUGAUGUCAGUAGUUCAUGUCAGUAGUUGAUGUCAGUAGUUGAUGUCAGUAGUUGAUUUCAGUAGUUGAUGUCAGUAGUUGAUGUCAGUAGUUGAUGUCAGUAGUUCAUGUCAGUAGUUCAUGUCAGUAGUUGAUUUCAGUAGUUGAUGUCAGUAGUUGAUGUCAGUAGUUGAUGUCAGUAGUUGAUGUCAGUAGUUGAUGUCAGUAGUUGAUGUCAGUAGUUCAGUAGUUGAUGUCAGUAGUUGAUGUCAGUAGUUGAUGUCAGUAGUUGAUGUCAGUAGUUGAUGUCAGUAGUUCAUGUCAGUAGUUCAUGUCAGUAGUUCAGUAGUUGAUGUCAGUAGUUCAGUAGUUGAUGUC